This 519-nucleotide ribosomal RNA is filed under the name uncultured Alphaproteobacteria bacterium. RNAcentral's name for it is "bacterial SSU rRNA". It matches the Rfam family "Bacterial small subunit ribosomal RNA", at positions 19 to 585 of the family's 1533-position model. The record is from RNAcentral. Lineage: Bacteria; Pseudomonadati; Pseudomonadota; Alphaproteobacteria.
CUGGCUCAGAACGAACGCUGGCGGCAGGCCUAACACAUGCAAGUCGAGCGCAUCCUUCGGGAUGAGCGGCGGACGGGUGAGUAACGCGUGGGAACGUGCCCAGAUCUACGGAAUAGCCACUGGAAACGGUGAUUAAUGCCGUAUACGCCCUUCGGGGGAAAGAUUUUUCGGAUUUGGAUCGGCCCGCGUUAGAUUAGGUAGUUGGUGGGGUAAUGGCCUACCAAGCCGACGAUCUAUAGCUGGUCUGAGAGGAUGAUCAGCCACACUGGGACUGAGACACGGCCCAGACUCCUACGGGAGGCAGCAGUGGGGAAUCUUAGACAAUGGGGGAAACCCUGAUCUAGCCAUGCCGCGUGAGUGAUGAAGGCCCUAGGGUUGUAAAACUCUUUCAGCUGGGAAGAUAAUGACGGUACCAGCAGAAGAAGCCCCGGCUAACUCCGUGCCAGCAGCCGCGGUAAUAGGAGGGGGCUAGCGUUGUUCGGAAUUACUGGGCGUAAAGCGCGCGUAGGCGGAUUGGAA